This 440-nucleotide ribosomal RNA is filed under the name uncultured bacterium. Its description in RNAcentral is "partial 16S ribosomal RNA". It matches the Rfam family "Bacterial small subunit ribosomal RNA", at positions 338 to 795 of the family's 1533-position model. The record is from RNAcentral.
CCUACGGGUGGCAGCAGUGGGGAAUAUUGCACAAUGGGGGAAACCCUGAUGCAGCGACGCCGCGUGAAGGAAGAAGUAUUUCGGUAUGUAAACUUCUAUCAGCAGGGAAGAAAAUGACGGUACCUGACUAAGAAGCACCUGCUAACUACGUGCCAGCAGCCGCGGUAAUACGGAGGGGGCAAGCGUUACUCGGAUUCACUGGGAGUAAAGGGAGCGUAGGCGGUUUAGCAAGUCAGAGGUGAAAGCCUGGGGCUCAACACUGGGACUGCAUUUGAAACUGUUGAACUAGAGUAUAGGAGAGGUAAGUGGAAUUCUUAGUGUAGCGGUGAAAUGCGUAGAGAUUAGGAGGAACACCAGUGGCGAAGGCGGCUUACUAGACUGUAACUGACGCUGAGGCUCGAAAGCGUGGGGAGCAAACAGGAUUAGAUACCCGGGUAGUC